AUAGUUUCUCCUGCGGGCGAACCUUGUUAAUAAGAAUAGGAUGCACCUGUGUAUUUCAGAUUGGUUCCUUUUCCCCUCCUCCUGCUGGAAGCCGGAGAGGAUUUUCCUCCCACGUUCACUAUGACCUGGUUGAGCAGCUAGAGGUAAAACUAACAAACAUGAGCCCCCUUCAUCCCCCUCCAUAACUGGACCCCCUGGAGCUUUUCUCUCGCUCAGAUUUUCCACACGGAGCCUCCAGCAUUCCAUCAAUUUCAGUUCAGGUGACCUUACCCUGGCCUCGAUUCCUGCGGAGGCUGCUGCUCACGGAUUUCUGGUCCAGAUCCAACUACUGCUGGAGACCAAACAGCCAGGAAGUGGCAAUGCUGGGACUUGAACAGAGGCCAUUGCCCACACUUGGUGGAUGCCCUGUGCAAAUGCUCACCUUUGAUUGCAGAACAAAUAGAACUAUGUGAAAAUCAUCGGACAAGCUGCCUGACUAGAGUCUGGCAUUUCAUAUUGCACCAACUGCUAUCUGAUUCCUACCAGUUUCCCACACCCCUCGUGAGUGCGAAGACUGGCGUUAAUUGUCAUUGACGUUGGCAGACGGUGGCGACUGACCAGUUACACUAAUACUUCUUCAACCAAAGCAAGUGACAUACCUAAGCUCAACAUCACUGGGAUGGAGAAAUAUAAACCCAAACUUCUGUAACAGUCUUACUGAAAAUUGGAUUCCAGUAGGACCCAUGGGAUAAUUUAAUUGUUAGCUCUCUGAAUGACAUUUUGACCAGUUCUAAGAACAGUGUCAAAGUCCGUACCAGAACAGAGAUCAACUGAAUUGUCCAUUCGUCCUAACUAAGAUCAGUGUCAUAUGACUGAGUACUGGCCAGUGAAAUAUUGGUAAACAUGGUGCAUGCAGACUCUGGGCCUGGCCCAUGGAACAGUGCCGUGAAGUACACGUCCUAUUUCUCUUUUUCCCUUCACAUUCCAUAAUGAUCUUGAACAUCAAAUACUAGAGAGAAUGAUCCUGCAGGAUAGGAGAAAUGAGGACAUCCAAAUGACUGCCAGAGCAGAACCCCUUGCCAACCACAGUGGUUUGUCACAUGACUGAGUUACUGGGGUGAGUCUGAGAUUUUGGGGUGUCUUAAGCAGUUAGCAUACUCCAACUGACACAGUUUUGGUACCAAGCAUAGCAUCUCACUGUAGCAAAAGCUUUGACUACAUGUCAUCGGCUUUGUGAUCAGAGACCGGACAAUAAAGAAACUGAUUUUCAAAGCUGGAAAAUUGGUCAUCCAUGAUACAUUGGAGCAAAACUUUUGGUGACACCGUCGCCUGCAAUAACCUGGAAGAAAGUCCGUGCCACGAGCUUUAAGAGAAAUGGUUGAAAGAAUUAAAACCUUAGUGUGUGUUGACAAUUAUUAGCUAUAUUUGGCAAUAAGGAGAAAAUUUUGGAGACCAUUAGACACAGUGCAAUAAGAAAGUGACAGGAACCCAGAGGAGAGAAUAGUCUGGCAAUUGGCGGCAUUGAAGUCUUAGAAAAUGUGUGUGCUUUUAAGCAAAAGAAAAGGGAAAUAAGUUUGAGAAAACAGCAAAUGCCUAUUAAGAUUCAGGCUUUUAGUUUUUCCACUGAAACUAGAUAGCCUCAAGGUAGCAGUCAUUAUGUUAAUAGAGAUAAAUGCUAGGCAAGGAUGCCAAGAAAUAAUGCAGAUUUCAGAAAUAUGCCUAUAGAAGUAUUUAUAUAUGGUAACCAGCACCAGGAACUGACUGAGAACAUGUAUAGAUCGGAAGCCCAUUAAGUUCUUGGGGGAUUUAUAUUGUCAAAUAUAAUUUCUAGAAUUCUGGCUACAAAAAUCGAUGGCAUCAAAGAUCAAUUUCAAAUGCCUCAAAAGACUCACUUCCUUCCCCAAAGGGUAGCACUUUCUCCUAGAGAUCUUGGACCGCAGCUGAAUGAAGUUACUAAAUGGUGGUAUUUUAGUGUUUCUCCCAUGUAGAGGAGUGAGUGUACUCUACACAUGGAAUAAAGAAUGAAGUGACGUUUCGGG
This is a long non-coding RNA of Equus caballus (horse), 2018 nucleotides long. The record is from Ensembl. NCBI's taxonomy places the organism in Eukaryota, Metazoa, Chordata, Mammalia, Perissodactyla, Equidae.